Molecule: ribosomal RNA, 497 nt
Filed under: uncultured bacterium
Lineage: Bacteria
Description: partial 16S ribosomal RNA
Rfam family: Bacterial small subunit ribosomal RNA
Source: RNAcentral
GAUGAACGCUGGCGGCGUGCCUAAUACAUGCAAGUCGAGCGAACAGAUAAGGAGCUUGCUCCUUUGACGUUAGCGGCGGACGGGUGAGUAACACGUGGAUAACCUACCUAUAAGACUGGGAUAACUUCGGGAAACCGGUGCUAAUACCGGAUAACAUAUUGAACCGCAUGGUUCAAUAGUGAAAGGCGGCUUUGCUGUCACUUAUAGAUGGAUCCGCGCCGUAUUAGCUAGUUGGUAAGGUAACGGCUUACCAAGGCAACGAUACGUAGCCGACCUGAGAGGGUGAUCGGCCACACUGGAACUGAGACACGGUCCAGACUCCUACGGGAGGCAGCAGUAGGGAAUCUUCCGCAAUGGGCGAAAGCCUGACGGAGCAACGCCGCGUGAGUGAUGAAGGUCUUCGGAUCGUAAAACUCUGUUAUCAGGGAAGAACAAAUGUGUAAGUAACUGUGCACAUCUUGACGGUACCUGAUCAGAAAGCCACGGCUAACUACGUG